Molecule: ribosomal RNA, 500 nt
Filed under: uncultured bacterium
Lineage: Bacteria
Description: partial 16S ribosomal RNA
Rfam family: Bacterial small subunit ribosomal RNA
Source: RNAcentral
AUUGAACGCUGGCGGCAUGCCUUACACAUGCAAGUCGAACGGCAGCACGGGAGCAAUCCUGGUGGCGAGUGGCGAACGGGUGAGUAAAGCAUCGGAACGUGCCCAGUCGUGGGGGAUAACGUAGCGAAAGCUACGCUAAUACCGCAUACGAUCUGUGGAUGAAAGCGGGGGACCGUAAGGCCUCGCGCGAUUGGAGCGGCCGAUGUCAGAUUAGGUAGUUGGUGAGGUAAAGGCUCACCAAGCCGACGAUCCGUAGCUGGUCUGAGAGGACGACCAGCCACACUGGGACUGAGACACGGCCCAGACUCCUACGGGAGGCAGCAGUGGGGAAUUUUGGACAAUGGGCGCAAGCCUGAUCCAGCAAUGCCGCGUGCAGGAUGAAGGCCUUCGGGUUGUAAACUGCUUUUGUACGGAGCGAAACGGCUUCCACUAAUACUGGGGGCUAAUGACGGUACCGUAAGAAUAAGCACCGGCUAACUACGUGCCAGCCGCCGCAGUAA